GAUGAACGCUAGCGACAGGCCUAACACAUGCAAGUCGAGGGGCAGCACAUGAGUAGCAAUACGAUGGUGGCGACCGGCGCACGGGUGAGUAACACGUAUGCAACCUGCCUUCUACUAUGGGAUAACCCGUUGAAAGACGGACUAAUACCGUAUAAUACAGGGGCUCCGCAUGGAGAUAUUUGUUAAAGAUUUAUUGGUAGAAGAUGGGCAUGCGUAUGAUUAGAUAGUUGGUGAGGUAACGGCUCACCAAGUCAACGAUCAUUAGGGGUUCUGAGAGGAAGGUCCCCCCACACUGGUACUGAGACACGGACCAGACUCCUACGGGAGGCAGCAGUGAGGAAUAUUGGUCAAUGGACGAGAGUCUGAACCAGCCAAGUCGCGUGAAGGAAGACGGUUCUAUGAAUUGUAAACUUCUUUUGUGCAGGAAUAAAGUGGGUUACGUGUAACCUUUUGUAUGUACUGUACGAAUAAGGAUCGGCUAACUCCGUG
Molecule: ribosomal RNA, 489 nt
Filed under: uncultured bacterium
Lineage: Bacteria
Description: bacterial SSU rRNA
Rfam family: Bacterial small subunit ribosomal RNA
Source: RNAcentral